Molecule: ribosomal RNA, 465 nt
Filed under: Vreelandella stevensii
Lineage: Bacteria; Pseudomonadati; Pseudomonadota; Gammaproteobacteria; Oceanospirillales; Halomonadaceae
Description: partial 16S ribosomal RNA
Rfam family: Bacterial small subunit ribosomal RNA
Source: RNAcentral
CCUACGGGUGGCUGCAGUGGGGAAUAUUGGACUAUGGGCGAAAGCCUGAUCCAGCCAUGCCGCGUGUGUGAAGAAGGCCUUCGGGUUGUAAAGCACUUUCAGUGGGGAAGAAAGCCUUGGGGCUAAUACCCUCGAGGAAGGACAUCACCCACAGAAGAAGCACCGGCUAACUCCGUGCCAGCAGCCGCGGUAAUACGGAGGGUGCGAGCGUUAAUCGGAAUUACUGGGCGUAAAGCGCGCGUAGGCGGUCUGAUAAGCCGGUUGUGAAAGCCCCGGGCUCAACCUGGGAACGGCAUCCGGAACUGUCAGGCUAGAGUGCAGUAGAGGAAGGUAGAAUUCCCGGUGUAGCGGUGAAAUGCGUAGAGAUCGGGAGGAAUCCCAGUGGCGAAGGCAGCCUUCUGGACUGACACUGACGCUGAGGUGCGAAAGCGUGGGUAGCAAACAGGAUUAGAUACCCUAGUAGUC